GGAUUCAACGCCGGAAAUCUCACCGGGGCGACAGCAAUAUGAAGGUCAGGCUGAAGACCUUACCCGAUUUAGCUGAGAGGUGGUGCAUGGCCGUCGUCAGUUCGUACUGUGAAGCAUCCUGUUAAGUCAGGCAACGAGCGAGACCCACGUCCACAGUUGCCAGCAUACCCUCCGGGGUGAUGGGUACACUGUGGAGACCGCGCUGCUAAAGCGGAGGAAGGAGUGGGCAACGGUAGGUCAGUAUGCCCCGAAUCUCCCGGGCUACACGCGGGCUACAAUGGUUGGUACAAUGGGCAUCUACCCCGAAAGGGGAAGGAAAUCUCUUAAAGCCAAUCGUAGUUCGGAUUGAGGGCUGCAACUCGCCCUCAUGAAGCUGGAAUCCGUAGUAAUCGCGUUUCAACAGAACGCGGUGAAUACGUCCCUGCUCCUU
This 430-nucleotide ribosomal RNA is filed under the name uncultured Methanosaeta sp. RNAcentral's name for it is "bacterial SSU rRNA". It matches the Rfam family "Archaeal small subunit ribosomal RNA", at positions 908 to 1338 of the family's 1478-position model. Lineage: Archaea; Methanobacteriati; Methanobacteriota; Methanomicrobia; Methanotrichales; Methanotrichaceae. The record is from RNAcentral.